GAUGAAGAACGUAGCAAAUGCGAUAAGUAAUGUGAAUUGCAGAAUUCAGUGAAUCAUAGAAUCUUUGAACGCACCUUGCACCCUUUGGCAUUCCGAAGGGUAUGCUCGUUUGAGUGUCAUUGUACUCUCACUCUCCCGAUACUUUUGGAUCGGGAGUGGUGGACUUGGGUGCUGCUGCUUAACUGUGGCUCGCCUUAAAUGAAGUAGUGCAACUCUCGGUUGGACAUAGUACGGCGUGAUAAGUGUCUUCGCCGGCGCCUCAUUCGAGGGUGGCCGAUCGGGAGCUCUGUGCUUCAAACUGUCUUCGGACAACAUCUGACAACUUGACCUCAAAUCGAGUAGGACUACCCGCUGAACUUAAGCAUAUCAAUAAGCGGAGGA
Molecule: unclassified non-coding RNA, 381 nt
Filed under: soil metagenome
Description: partial contains 5.8S ribosomal RNA, internal transcribed spacer 2, and large subunit ribosomal RNA
Rfam family: 5.8S ribosomal RNA (bases 1-119)
Source: RNAcentral